UCGAGUUAAUUCUUUGAUUAUUUGUGCAAAUAGUAAACCGUUCCAUACGUUUCUUGGCUAACCAGAUUAUUCAUAGAUCUGUGUAUAACUUUAUUGUAAGAAAAUGAGUGCAGCCGGUAGUGAAGCCGGUUGUGAUGUUGCAACAGGAGAUUGUCCAUCUAGCCCGGAGCAGUUAAUCCAUAACGUUGUUGAAUAUGUAAAUUCACAUUUAGAUUUGGAUCAUGAUGUGGCUGCAUGGAUAAGUGAGUUGCAGGCAGAAGCCAAGAGAGAAUGUGUGGAUGUAUGGACGCCACUUGGCACAGUCAGGAGACAACUAACUUAUCUUGAUGUGCUUAGAAAUACCGCAGGUAAAAACCAACACCUCUUAAAGAUGUUGCCAUCAAUUUUGUAUGCAUUAUUAGAGGUCAGCAUUUUCUCAGAGAGUAGACAUAUGCAUAUAACAAAAAUGAAAGCAUAUAUAUCCCAUAUGGAAGAAAGAUUAGAAUCUGCAAAUGCAUCGAUCGAGGACUUAAAAUGUGAGCUCGAUCACAGCCAUGCUGCCUAUCACAAAUUAAAAAGUGAGGCAGAGGAGCUGCACAUCCGUUAUAGCAGUCUGCAGCAAACAAAUGAACUAAGCCAAACUGUAGCUGAUGUUCAAGGUGAUAUGUCUGAUCAUGAGGGAUAUCCAGACCCUCCAAUUCUCACACCCCAAAAUGUAGAUAUGUCAUCAUCACAUGCUCUUAAAGCGCAAUCCAUCCGAGACCUUAAGCCCCCUGAGGGUGAUGGCAUGAUUACACAGGAGGUCUUAACCCAUUUCAGUCAGGCGUGUCAAGCUGUAACCGCCUUACUAGGCGCUAGCGACGCAAAAGGCCGCAGAAGUGCCCCUCCACGUCCUCCUCUGGGGAGGAAUGUUAGGGUUAAGUCACCUGUGCCAAGUGGGUCUGAUGGAAGUGAGCGGAGCAUGAGUGAUUGUGACAGUGAUGUGGGAAAGCGUGUGAUCCAUUCCCUACCACGCAGGCAUAAGAUUGCCCAUCAGGUGGAUGAGAGUUUCAGACGACCAACAUAUGCUGAGGUGGUCUCUAGAAAGAAAAAUACUCAGUGUUCAGAAAAGGAUCAGAACUCCUCGAGUAUUAUUAAGUUUUUAAAUGUCACUGUGCCCAAAUUCUCUAAAAAGGGUUCUCCUGAAAUUGCCAAUCACUUAGAACUGUACCAGUCCACCAUGGAUUCUUUAAAAUUGUAUUCUGAUGCGGACAGGAUCAGAUUCCUACCAUGGGCAUUUGAUGGUAAAUAUCGCCACUACUUUAUUUCAUUUAGGGAGAGGGGAAUUCAGGAUUGGCAGGAUGUUUUGCAUGAGGUCAAAUUAGAAUUUGGACCUUACCGUACUGUUACUGCUGCAAAACGUGAUAUCUAUAAACUUACAUGUAGACCCAAUCAGAGUCCCCGUGAAUUCCUCCCUAUCCUUAAAAAUGCCUAUGGGUUGGCGUAUAGAUCCCCAAACUGGGAGUCUGAGGAGUUCAAACAGCUGUUUUAUGAUGCAAUGCCCAUGCAAAUUAAACUUAGCUUGGCUAGAGAUCUUGAUCUCAAAGCUCCCUUGGACAGGUUGGUGACGGCUGCCACCUCACUGUAUAACAUCAGUGAAUGCCAUGCUACAGGUGAGAGGAGAUAUAAAAAGUCCCCAGAACAAAGCAUAGCAGAAGCUAAGGUAAACCCUAGCUUCAAAUUUGAAACGCAGCCACGUAAGUACCCUCAGUCUACAGGACCUGUCCAACAAACCCAGCGACAACAGUUAGGACCCAAGCAAACAAGACCUCAGAGCCCCAAUGGGCCAGAGGGGGAUAACUCCAGUGCUGGCAGGUUUAACUACCGUCCCCAAUAUUACAAUAGGGGUCCCCAGGGGGGAUACAGGCGCUGGAACAACAGGCCCAGACAACAGAAGGAAAAUAGGCCUGAAUCCCCUACCUCACCUAGAAGUCGGUCACCCACUUCUAAUAAGGGCACACCAGAGGUCCAAACUGUGCGCAAACCAAACAAUCGUUUGGAUCAGUUGGCAGAUCAAGUGGCCAAAUUACAGGAGAUCGUUAGUAAAAUGUCCCAGGUGUCAACUGGAAAACAGCCUGAGUCUUUUUUAGGGGCAACUGCAGGACCCAGCUCAGCCCCAUAAUGCAGGCAGGGCAGGGUCAGAGCCCAGGCCGGUGCAAGGCUACUGAGAUGGUUGUAAAAGAAUCUAAUGUGAUUUCUAAUCCUACUUUGCCUUGCAGUGUUCUUGUCCCUAAAAUUGAGGCCAAGGAGGAGAUGUCUAACAUGUUGUCUAUAUUACAGUCUAAUCAUGAUGAUUCCUGCACUAAUGUGUCUUCUCCAGUGAGUGAUCCUAUCACCUCAGCGUCCAUCUGCGAGCUGCCGUCUGUAAGCUGUGAUGUGAUCCAGUGUUCUCCGAAGGUGGGGGCUGCUGCUGCCACCGCGAGCAGCAAGAAUUCCAAGAAUUCAUCAGAGGUCGCGACGCUGCAGAAAGGUCAAAUCCUUAACAAAUGUCAAAUAAGUGAUCACCCUAAUUUUUUAUGUGAUUUGUUUCAGAUAGAAGGCCGAUAUUUUCUUGAUUCCUAUCUCCAAGAUGAACUUAUCGGACCAAUCAGGGGUUUACUUGACACAGGAUCACAAGCCACUAUAUUGUCAUAUAGUUACUUCCAACAAGUAUUAGAGGUGACAGCAAAGAAGCCGAAACUGAAAUCGUUUGAUGGCUCUUUGAUAAGUGUCGGCGGAGACGCUUUGCAGGUAAAAGGUACAUCAUGGUUAAAAUUCAAAAUUGGUAAGAAGAUAAUUAGACAUCCCACUCUGAUCGUGGACCUUCCCUAUGAUCGGCUGAUCAUAGGAAUUGACCUCCUGAGAAGAUUGAGUUCCAUAGUAGACUUCAUCAAUGAAGCCGUCUGGACUCAGGUGAAGGCACCCAUUGCCUAUGAGUACUCUUGCAAUGCACAAUCCCAACGUAAUUGUCAUGUGAUUGAGGAAAGGUUUAACUCUGUUGAAGUUCAUUUUAGGAACAAUCAAACACCGGAUGUCACAAUCCUGAAAAAUGGUAAACCCGAGGAAGCCGUCAGCAGUGCCGCACAUACCAUAACCAUCCAGAAGGACAGAAUUGAAAAGGAGAUAAAACCACAGAACAUUUAUUCAUUGUGUUGAAUGAACCACGGUACCAGCUGUACAUAGGUAAUGACCUUCUACACCGAUUUGCCGUGCAGAUUGAUCUGGUCAACAAUACUCUAUGGUCCAGAUUACCUGGGAACCCGGAGGGAUUCCAGGAUGAAGAACAAGCCUUGAGAUGGGGACAACAGAUGCCCUAUGCCGUCACAACUUCGCCAAAUGGAAGGAUUGCCGGAUGAUGAAGAGUAAAGAGAUAACAAGGUUCCAGCUAAAGACAGAAACCCAGGAUUGGUAUAGUAUGAACAUACAAAUGAACUAACCUAUCCUCAUGUAUUUUCCUCUGUAACUAAUUAUCUCUUGACUCACUUUUGUAUCGAGAACUUGCUCUGUCCAAGAAAAGAAACGAUGCCAAAUCAAAGAUGUAUGGUAGUAUUAACUCUUUUCUUGCAGGAGUAAUAAAAAGUGGAAGAUGUAUGUACUUAUAUUUGUCAUACAAUAUAUUACAGGUGCAAAAUGGCACGGAGGGUUGUUGCCGUUAUCUACAUCGUCCUGAUCUUGGGGAAGGAGUUCCAGGCCGAGCCGAUUGCUGUACCAGGCCCUUCAUCUGGGAUCAUGCUACAGGAUACCACGGGAUUCAUCUUGACGAAUAAGAGGAUUCUAUCCCAAAAGAUCUACGUCAGUUUGGACCCACGUGUCUUCGUCGAGAGACAGUUCAACAUUUCUGAGAUUUCGUCUCCGGAGAUAAAGAUUUGGUAUCAAAUGCACACCGGCUAUUCCCAAGAAAGAGUUACACAGAUCCUGGAACAGACAAGGAAAACCAUGACCAGCGAACAGUUUUCAACAAGUCGACGACCAAAGUGGUUCAUUUCUGCAAUUACAGCCGCCAUAAUCUUUGCCGUAGUGGGCACUGUCAUUGCCACCGGUGUAUCAGCUGUUAAUUCCAUCUCCGUUAAGACAUUGGAACUUGAGAUCGGUUCACUGAAAAGGAACCUAAUGAGUAUUCAUGCAGAGUUGGAGAA
This is an RNA transcript of Bufo gargarizans (Asiatic toad), 4133 nucleotides long. RefSeq lists it as uncharacterized. The record is from RefSeq and is a predicted model, not a curated record. The transcript has 3 exons. Lineage: Eukaryota; Metazoa; Chordata; Amphibia; Anura; Bufonidae.